This 714-nucleotide ribosomal RNA is filed under the name Triticum aestivum (bread wheat). RNAcentral describes it as "partial small subunit ribosomal RNA". Lineage: Eukaryota; Viridiplantae; Streptophyta; Magnoliopsida; Poales; Poaceae. The record is from RNAcentral.
AUGGCUAUCUCUACCAGUAGUGAUGCCAGUGCCUUCCUCUUCCUCACGAUCUUGUGUUUCGCUACACUUCGCCCUUCACCUGUCAACGCCAGGCAUUUCCCUGGUAAGCUUGGCAGUACCAGCGCCAUCCAUGGCGCCGGCAGCAAGUUCUACUGGCCCUUCUCAAGGGACGGCGCCGGCAGUGGCCAUGGCUCCGGAACCGGCCAUGGGUUCGGUUGGGUCGUGUCGCGGAACGGGUCCAACACGACCAUCGGGGUGGGCGUCGGCAUCGGCGGUGGCGCGGGAAGCACCCGUGACGGCGACGGGGGCAGCGCCGGUGGUGGUGUUGGCGCCGGGGUCGGCAUCGACAUCGGGAAGGACGGGAUCGACGUGGCCAUCGGCGUCGGCGGAGGGGGCGCCGCGAGCAUGCACAACGGCGGCGUCAGUGUCGGUCUUGGCGGCGGGGAAGGCUUUGGUUUCCAUAUCAGCAAAGAAGGUGUCACUGUCACGGUGACACGCGGCGAUGGUGGUGGAGGAGGCGACGGCAGCGGUGCCGGUGCUUUGGGCGGCGGCAGAGGGGUUGGACGCGCAGGCAAUGCCGUGGGGAGCGGCCAAGGUUCUGGGAGCGCGAUCGGUGGCACGGGGAGCGGCGGCGGGAGUGGCUCCGGCUCCGGGCCAGGAGGAUCCGGUGGCGGUGGAGGCGGCGGCGCCGGCGGGAGCAACGGCCACCCGUGA